AUUGAACGCUGGCGGCAGGCCUAACACAUGCAAGUCGAGCGAGCGGCGGACGGGUGAGUAAUGUAUGGGGACUGCCAGAUAGAGGGGGAUAAAUACUGGAAACGGUGACUAAUACCGUCUACUAUCGGCUAAGCCUUAUGGGAAUAGCUAGUGGGUGGGGUAAAGGCGAACCAAGGCGACGAUCGCGAGCUGGGCUGAGAGGAUGAUCAGCCACACUGGAACGUAGACACGGGCCAGACUCCGACGGAGGCAGCGGUGGGGAAUAUUGCAAGAUGGGCGCAGGCCUGAGGCAGCCAUGCCGCGUGUAUGAAGAAGUCCUUAGGGGUGUAAAGUACUUUCAGCGGGGAGGCGUUACCCGCAGAAGAAGCACCGGCUAACUCCGUGCCAGCAGCCGCGGUAAUAC
This 403-nucleotide ribosomal RNA is filed under the name uncultured bacterium. Its description in RNAcentral is "partial 16S ribosomal RNA". It matches the Rfam family "Bacterial small subunit ribosomal RNA", at positions 29 to 526 of the family's 1533-position model. The record is from RNAcentral.